RNAcentral lists this ribosomal RNA (253 nucleotides) under uncultured bacterium. RNAcentral's name for it is "partial 16S ribosomal RNA". It matches the Rfam family "Bacterial small subunit ribosomal RNA", at positions 524 to 776 of the family's 1533-position model. The record is from RNAcentral.
UACAGAGGGUGCAAGCGUUGUUCGGAUAUACUGGGCGUAAAGCGCACGUAGGCGGCGUCGUAAGUCAGGGGUGAAAUCCCGGAGCUCAACUCCGGAACUGCCCUUGAAACUGCAAUGCUAGAAUCUUGGAGAGGCGAGUGGAAUUCCGAGUGUAGAGGUGAAAUUCGUAGAUAUUCGGAAGAACACCAGUGGCGAAGGCGGCUCACUGGACUGGUAUUGACGCUGAGGUACGAAAGCGUGGGGAGCAAACAGG